Molecule: ribosomal RNA, 253 nt
Filed under: uncultured bacterium
Lineage: Bacteria
Description: partial 16S ribosomal RNA
Rfam family: Bacterial small subunit ribosomal RNA
Source: RNAcentral
UACAGAGGGGGCAAGCGUUGUCCGGAAUUAUUGGGCGUAAAGGGCGCGUAGGCGGCCUGGCAAGUGGGUGGUGAAAUCCCUCGGCUUAACCGAGGAACUGCCCUCGAAACUGCUUGGCUUGAGUCCGGGAGAGGUGAGUGGAAUUCCCAGUGUAGCGGUGAAAUGCGUAGAUAUUGGGAGGAACACCAGUGGCGAAGGCGGCUCACUGGACCGGUACUGACGCUGAGGCGCGAAAGCGUGGGGAGCAAGCGGG